Molecule: ribosomal RNA, 405 nt
Filed under: Halorubrum sp. AJS
Lineage: Archaea; Methanobacteriati; Methanobacteriota; Halobacteria; Halobacteriales; Haloferacaceae
Description: bacterial SSU rRNA
Rfam family: Archaeal small subunit ribosomal RNA
Source: RNAcentral
CAUAGCGCCUGUGCUUUUCGGUACCCUAAGGCGGUACCAGAAUAAGGGCUGGGCAAGACCGGUGCCAGCCGCCGCGGUAAUACCGGCAGCCCAAGUGAUGGCCGAUCUUAUUGGGCCUAAAGCGUCCGUAGCUGGCCACGCAAGCCCAUCGGGAAAUCCACCUGCCCAACAGGUGGACGCCCGGUAGAAACUGCGUGGCUUGGGACCGGAAGGCGCGACGGGUACGUCCGGGGUAGGAGUGAAAUCCCGUAAUCCUGGACGGACCGCCGAUGGCUAAAGCACGUCGCGAGAACGGAUCCCACAGUGACGGACGAAAGCCAGGGUCUCUAACCGUAUUAGAUACCCGGGUAGUCCUGGCCGUAAACAAUGUCUGCUAUGUGUGGAUCCCACUACUAGUGGGUGCUG